Molecule: ribosomal RNA, 339 nt
Filed under: uncultured bacterium
Lineage: Bacteria
Description: bacterial SSU rRNA
Rfam family: Bacterial small subunit ribosomal RNA
Source: RNAcentral
GACGAACGCUGGCGGCGUGCCUAAUACAUGCAAGUCGAGCGAGCUUGCCUAGAUGAUUUUAGUGCUUGCACUAAAUGAAACUAGAUACAAGCGAGCGGCGGACGGGUGAGUAACACGUGGGUAACCUGCCCAAGAGACUGGGAUAACACUUGGAAACAGAUGCUAAUACCGGAUAACAACACUAGACGCAUGUCUAGAGUUUAAAAGAUGGUUCUGCUAUCACUCUUGGAUGGACCUGCGGUGCAGUAGCUAGUUGGUAAGGUAACGGCUUACCAAGGCAAUGAUGCAUAGCCGAGUUGAGAGACUGAUCGGCCACAUUGGGACUGAGACACGGCCCAA